AGUGAACGCUGGCGGUAGGCCUAACACAUGCAAGUCGAACGGCAGCACAGUAAGAGCUUGCUCUUACGGGUGGCGAGUGGCGGACGGGUGAGGAAUACAUCAGAAUCUACUUUUUCGUGGGGGAUAACGUAGGGAAACUUACGCUAAUACCGCAUACGACCUACGGGUGAAAGCAGGGGAUCUUCGGACCUUGCGCGAUUGAAUGAGCCGAUGUCGGAUUAGCUAGUUGGCGGGGUAAAGGCCCACCAAGGCGACGAUCCGUAGCUGGUCUGAGAGGAUGAUCAGCCACACUGGAACUGAGACACGGUCCAGACUCCUACGGGAGGCAGCAGUGGGGAAUAUUGGACAAUGGGCGAAAGCCUGAUCCAGCCAUACCGCGUGGGUGAAGAAGGCCUUCGGGUUGUAAAGCCCUUUUGUUGGGAAAGAAAAGCAGCAGGUUAAUACCCCGCUGUUCUGACGGUACCCAAAGAAUAAGCACCGGCUAACUUCGUG
Molecule: ribosomal RNA, 492 nt
Filed under: uncultured bacterium
Lineage: Bacteria
Description: partial 16S ribosomal RNA
Rfam family: Bacterial small subunit ribosomal RNA
Source: RNAcentral